Molecule: long non-coding RNA, 691 nt
Filed under: Mustela putorius furo (domestic ferret)
Lineage: Eukaryota; Metazoa; Chordata; Mammalia; Carnivora; Mustelidae
Description: lncRNA (ENSMPUG00000027739.1)
Source: RNAcentral
AGUGAGUGGUAUCUGGAACAUUUAGCUUAAUGGGCUGGUCCUCCUGAUGGUGUGAUUUCCUCUUGAGUCCUCCUUCAGCAACUGAUCUUCAUCCUGAAUGUCUGGCAAAGCUGUGAGUUGCAUCUCUUCUCUCUUGGGCUGUGAGAGGAAGCACCUGGGCUGGUUGGGAGGCUCUGACUCUGGAACUGGGCAGGAACGUGUUUUUAUUUUCCGUGGAAGUUGUUAUUCCAGGCUUCAGAAAAUGUGUUUCGUGGUGCUUUCCCCCACCCUCUUUGGCAGUCCCUGUGUCCAUCAACUCUGUGCCUACCUCCCUGUCUGGUGGUGUGGAAACAAGACCAGCAUCUACAAAGCAGUGGGGGUCACACUCCAGGGCCCACAGGGCCCAGCAGGACUCCUCCAAGUUAAAAAUAAUACGCCAGUGCAUAUUGUGAGGUCCCAGUUGUUGAGGUUGUACCAAGCCUUAUCUGUUCCAAAGGGAAGGAUCUCACACAGCACCUACUUUCAGGAUGAUUUGGAGCUAGACCCUCAGGCAGCAGCUUUCAAGAUGCUUGAAGAUUUGCAAAUAAAUCUCUCUCGCAUAUGAUGUAGGCGCUUUCCAAGCUGCUGCUUUUCUGCUGGGUCCUGGGGUGAGUAAGCUCGGGUACAUGCCCUUUAAGAGUGGACUUGGCAGUUCUCCACAGCCUGUUGGUCU